This 181-nucleotide small RNA is filed under the name Chrysemys picta bellii (western painted turtle). RNAcentral's name for it is "TUC338 (ENSCPBG00000022579.1)". Lineage: Eukaryota; Metazoa; Chordata; Testudines; Emydidae. The record is from RNAcentral.
UUGACAGCUCUGGAGGCUGGUGUUCUCUGUCUACAAUCUGCAGAACAAGUGCAGCACGUGGAGCAGCAGGGCAGGAUUCUCCAUUGCACCUGCCUGUGUGUCUAAACCUUGGCCUGUAGGGUCCAUCCCUAAGGGUUAAGGGGUAGUUCAGCAUUACAUACUCAUUCAUUCCUUGGCCUCA